Molecule: long non-coding RNA, 1033 nt
Organism: Apis dorsata (giant honeybee)
Lineage: Eukaryota; Metazoa; Arthropoda; Insecta; Hymenoptera; Apidae
Exons: 2
Source: RefSeq, a predicted model, not a curated record
AUCCGAGAUGUUUAAUCGUUAACAUCUCCUCCCUCCCCUCUCUCCUCGAUCGGUAAGAUACAAGGGGGACGAAUAAAUUCACGUCUCCUCGAUUUGAACGCGACUCACGAGCCUUCUUUAUCACGCACACCCGGUCGAUAAAAGUCAGUCCAUGAAAAAGUGGUCGGUCGUGAUUGCCGUGAACGCGAGCGAGCGAGUGCAGCGGUGAAAAGCGCAGGUCCAUCGGUUGGCGGGCCAGGCGUGAGAGGCGAGGGGGUGAGGGGGCUCGAGAGCAUAGGGAUUUCCUCGGCGCAUUUCGUUGCAGUAGUCGACAGCAUCCCGCGGGUGGUCGCGAUCGAANAGGGCGGGAGAGCUGUCGAGCAGAGGGUUCGAAGGGGGAACCCCUGCCUCUUUCCCUCUCGCUUUCUCUCUCUCUCUAUCUCUCUUUCUCUCUCUCUCUCCCCCUCCCCUCUUGUCCUCCGUCCACCACCGAUUCGAAAAUAGUGGUAAGGUGCUUCUGCGAAAGAGGAACGCGCGUCCGACACGUGAUCGCGUGCACGCCAGUGCUUUCGUCCAUUUUUUCCUUUUCCCUCCUCAUAACAAACGAAACACCGGUGAAUUUUCGUUGUUCGUCGUGUAGUAGUAGUAGUAGUAGUAGAAAGGGGGCGAGCUACGCCCCGGAUCGACCGGGAUAAUUCGAGGGAAAGAAUCGACGAAGAGGCCUUGGGGAGACACGGAGCCCUCGAGGACAGGGGAUCCUGGCACGCCUCCAACCGAGUCUCUCCUCAUCGACGACGCCGAUCCAACGGCGACGACGUUCGAUGUCGGCGGCACAGCAGACCGCGAAGUGUGUCGUUGCUAUUUUCAGGUAGAAAUUGGGAUCGCCGGUUUUUCGAGCAAGAGACACGACGCGGGUGAAACCACACAAACGAGCACAGAAACUGUAGAAACGCGCGGCGAAAAAGAGAACAGGAGGUUCGUAAAUGUGAGAGAACAGGUUCUCUUCGAAUAUUGCGAAGAGUGCAAAUAAAGAAGAUACUUUACUUCUUUUUUA